RNAcentral lists this transfer RNA (71 nucleotides) under human gut metagenome. The stretch from base 5 to 64 matches the Rfam family "tRNA", at positions 8 to 63 of the family's 71-position model. Rfam says of the family: Transfer RNA (tRNA) molecules are approximately 80 nucleotides in length. The record is from RNAcentral.
UGAUUAGCUCAGCUGGUUCAGAGCAUCUGCCUUACAAGCAGAGGGUCGGCGGUUCGAAUCCGUCCCUGCCC